Molecule: microRNA precursor, 78 nt
Filed under: Trichobilharzia regenti
Lineage: Eukaryota; Metazoa; Platyhelminthes; Trematoda; Strigeidida; Schistosomatidae
Description: mir-3492 microRNA precursor family
Rfam family: mir-3492 microRNA precursor family
Source: Rfam by way of RNAcentral
AGCCCCCUGUAUCCGUGGUGAGAUUUCGUCAGCGAUCAACCCGUUGGGAUUGAUGUAACUCCCCAAAUAAGUGAAGUG